RNAcentral lists this unclassified non-coding RNA (249 nucleotides) under Dacryobolus sudans. RNAcentral describes it as "partial internal transcribed spacer region". The stretch from base 1 to 46 matches the Rfam family "Eukaryotic small subunit ribosomal RNA", at positions 1786 to 1831 of the family's 1831-position model. Lineage: Eukaryota; Fungi; Basidiomycota; Agaricomycetes; Polyporales; Dacryobolaceae. The record is from RNAcentral.
AAGUCGUAACAAGGUUUCCGUAGGUGAACCUGCGGAAGGAUCAUUAAUGAAUUUUGAAGGGGUUGUAGCUGGCUCGCAAGGGCAUGUGCACACCCCGUUCAAUCCAUCUUACCCCUGUGCACCACAAUGUAGGGAUGGCGGGACCGUGAGGUCUUCCGUCUCUAUGUCAUUUACGAACUCGAUAGUAUCAGAAUGUAAACGCGUGUAACGCAUCUUAUACAACUUUCAGCAACGGAUCUCUUGGCUCUC